GAGUAGGGAAUACAUGCAAAAGAAGAUAAAGCACGUGAAUUCAUGGGGAGUCGCAAUCAGGACCAUCAAAUCGUUAAAGAGAUGGGAUUACGGGUUAAGCCAACUUGGGCACUAGUCAUCAAUCCAUUAGACCCCACUGGAAUCACGGUGCAUAUAUUGGAACAAUGUGGAUGGACCAACGAAUAAUUGGACUAUGCAGAUCUCUCCUCACUAAAAGAUUUUCUUUAAAAAGCAGCUCACUUUAGAACGACUUUAGUAAAAUGACGAGAUGACACAUAUCUCGUGUGUUGAUACAAUGUUGGUAAAAUAUAGAAAAUUAUGUUUUUUUUAAUUUGAAGCAUGAAGUUUUUUUUUAGAAGAAGAAAUAAGAGGAAAAGAAAAGAAAGUAAGCCUGAAAAAAAGAGUCGGAUGAUGGUGGACUGUGACUAGGGGAUAUAUAUUUAAAAGAAGAUCAAGUACCAAUACUGGUGGGCAGUCGCAAUCAGGACCGUCAAA
This 495-nucleotide long non-coding RNA is filed under the name Phoenix dactylifera (date palm). RNAcentral's name for it is "long non-coding RNA (PDAC_LNC009317)". The record is from RNAcentral. Lineage: Eukaryota; Viridiplantae; Streptophyta; Magnoliopsida; Arecales; Arecaceae.